CUUCUUCAGUUUGGUUGUUCACUGGUUGAUUGUUUUUCCUCCUGUUACUAGUAACAGUUGUUGUUUUUCCCAUGUUAAUUUGUUUGUAGCUGUUAGUGCUAACCCUUUCUAUUCAUGCUGCCUCAUUUACUCGUCCAGUAAUUUGUCCAGUAAUUAAGAGAUAUCUGAAGACACCUUGGGACAGGAUCUGGAAAAUGCAUCAAUUCUGAUUAGCAAAGUUUUAAACUUGGUUUGUGGUUUAUUUGUUUUUUUUUCCCCUUCAAAGCUUCUAUGUAUUUUAUUUAUUUUUUUGUUCUUGCCAGAUCAACACAUUAGCACUGAGAGGGGGCACCAAUGUCAAAGAGAGUGUUUGGGGGAUGAUGAGCCAUGUCAUGACAAAUCCCCUUGCACUUAAAAUCAAUUGGAGAGGAAUCAGUGGGAAGGCUGCAUUCCACCGAAUGGUGUUAAAGGAUGUUAUAACAAGUGCAGUAAGACAAAAUAGACUGACUAGCUCUGCAAGCGACAUGGAGGUUGAGGCUGCCAUAAAACGGUGGUUGCAUCUUGCCUCUGACCGUGAUGGAGGGAGGAAAGCUCAUGAGGGUCAAGCUGGUGUUGCUGCACACAGUCACCAAAUUUGACGGAUGUUAUGCUAUACCCAAGGACUUCUGCUUUAUCACCUUCAUUUCACACAGACACGAAAUCUUGUUGGCUGAACUGUUCACUGUUUUAAAUUUACCACACCUGUUUGAGUGUUUGUCCAAAAGGUUUAUAUGUUAUUGCUGUUCAUAAAAAAUGUUAAAUUUUAUCUUUAAAUGCAAACUUUUGGAAAAAAUAUUAUUUGCAGUUUUGAUGGAUACUAUGCUGUUAAUUGCUAUUUGUGAAUUAAAGCACAAUCCUGUGAACUGGGAUAAACUGUGGAAGUACUGUAAGUCAUAAAUCAUUUAACA
Molecule: long non-coding RNA, 926 nt
Organism: Monopterus albus (swamp eel)
Lineage: Eukaryota; Metazoa; Chordata; Actinopteri; Synbranchiformes; Synbranchidae
Exons: 3
Source: RefSeq, a predicted model, not a curated record